UUGCCAAGUUCGGGAUUUUAUCCCGAGAUCUCGGGAUUUUUUGAAGCAGUUGGGAUUUUUUUGGGAUUUAUUUCUCAAAUGGUAAUCUCGGGAUUUUUUUAGGGAUUUUUGGGAAAGGGAAGUUUGGAAUUUGGGAAAAGAUGUUUUCGUUAAAUUGACAAAUAAACAUUUUAAAAAUCCAAGGUUCGUCCGCUUGUACUUAAAAUACUUACUCAAAGUCACUCAAUAAAGACUAUUUGUACAAUCGGUUAUGCAGAGAAGUACCGCUUUAUAAACGCACACUGAGCGGACUGGGUACUAGGGUGCGCCAAGGCUGAGGACUGGGGUUGAAAUUAGAAUCUCGGGAUUUUAGGGGGAAUCUCGGGAUAUUUCAGGCGCUUACUUGGGAUUUUCACAAAAUUACAGUUGGCAACACUGGUUUAGUCACUUUAGUGUUUACAUUUCCUUCUCUACUGUGACAACUGUGAUUCGAGUCUGUUACAAGUUUAAAUUAUGUUUAUUGUGAAGGCGAUUUUAAGAUUUUUUUGGAGAUGAACACACGAGAGCUUAUGAUGUUGUAUAAAGAAGAAAUUAUAAGAGGCGAAUAAAUUUAUGGUUCCGUUACAAACGAUGCAAAGAAAUUCAAGACUUCGAAGGUCCCGAAUAGCUUGAAAGUGAAAAGUCUGCUUUAUUCUAAUAAUUCAGAGACCACCGAAGCGCAUGGCGACGCGAACAGAUUCGACAUCACAAGAGAGACUUGGUGACCUUUGUAUAUUAUGAAGAUCAUGAAUUAAGGCGAUGAUGUUAUUGCAACAGUUGAGCAGGCACCAUACACUCCAACAAACAAGAACAAGGGUGACCAACAAGACAAGAAAACACCACCAAGUGUCAAGUCGAGACGACAUCAAGUCAAUAAACUGUUUAUAGAGAAAACAACGCAAUUGCAAUGGAAUCUUCGAAAAAUCCGCCAUGGUCGCAUGCGUAAGCAACAAGAACGAACAGUAAGGCAGGAUGAGUGUUGACGAUGUGUUGCUUUUUACCACCAUUUAUCGGGAUAGUACACCUGGUAUACAAUUAUUGCAAUGAUUCAUUCCGACAGAACUGGUUCGUUGUUUAUCAGAGCAAGUUUCAUGGAAUAAAAUUGUGAAGAAUUGUGAAUGCUUUCAUGGUCGGAAUAAAUCAAACAUAUCAAAUACAGAAAAGCCGAUGGAAAAUUCUUUUUACAAUUCUUACCUGUGAUUGUUGUUGACGUCGUGUUAAAAGAAUAGCACCACUUAAUAAUGUCGUGCAAAAUUGGUAUGGAUAAGGGGAAAAUUUCUGCUCAAGCAGCCGUGAUGUGCCUAAAAAUAAGGUGGAGGGUUUGCCAGACGUAAUUACUCCAAUAUAAUGAUGAGGACCAAUCGGGUGUCUUGUAAUUAACGCGCAUUUUAAUUAUAACCGGAAAUUUACAAGCACGUCUAAUCGUACGUCUCAAUACGGACGAUCUUCGAAAAUAAACGUGAAUGUUUUAUAUGUAAUGUGACAAACGAAGAUAUAGCUGUCAUGAAAAUUAGCUCAUUCUAAUGAACAACUCACGAUACACUUUUAUACAGUUAGUUUAUUCUCUGAACUUUGACCUCGGAUUAGGCUAAGCGUAGGAGAAGAAUCUCCUCUAUGUAAAUAUACGUCAUUUAUUACACGAUUUUAAAUAUUUAUAA
Molecule: long non-coding RNA, 1676 nt
Organism: Dendronephthya gigantea
Lineage: Eukaryota; Metazoa; Cnidaria; Anthozoa; Malacalcyonacea; Nephtheidae
Exons: 5
Source: RefSeq, a predicted model, not a curated record